ACUCUAGAAGACUAGAGGCAUCCUUAUGUGUUUUGACUAUGUUGUAACCUGCUACGAGCCACAAGGAGAGGCAAGUAAAAAAAUAAAAUUAUUGUCAUCAUCAUCAUCAUCAUCAUCAUCAUCAUCAAAGAGCAUUGAUUGGUGCAAUGGGAAACAAAAAAGAGUAAGAAAGUCUUAUCCAUUUUACAGCUGCCACAAAAAGAAGACUGAGAAAGGCAUUUAUCAACAGAGUGCAGGGUGAAGGAUUUUCUUUUUGACAACCUUAUUCUUCUACAAUUCUUCUACAAAGGGAGUCUUUCUGGACCUUUAAAUUAAACUCUGUAUUCCGCAAAGGGCUGAAUGAUAGGAUUGAUUUCACCUGUUAUCUUUAGUGAGUAGAGUAUUUCAGUUCACCAUACAAGCCAUAGGGCACUUGCAACUUUGAAAAAACACAGAGCCCUGCAAGAGUAACAAUGUAAAUUGACUACAUUGAAAGGCCUUGAACUGAAGCAGGACCAAGCAAGUAAUUAAGAUUAAAGAGACAGCAAUAUAUCCGCAACAUACCGUAGAAGAUUCUGAGAAUCACAGUAAGAAGAAAAUUGCCAUACAUCAAAAGACUGUUUAAGAUCUCACAUAAAUAUCAACAACCUGAAGAAGGACUUCCCGAAAUGAGGCAGUGUACCGGGAUUACUUGUUGUUGCAUAGUUUUGUUUAUACACACACAACAGCUGUGGACUGUUUUCCGUUGAGUUUGAUGUAUGCUUUACUUUAUAUGUUACAUAAUAAGGUUGUAUAAUUGUAUAUAUACCAUAUUUGUGGACUGUUUUCGGUUGGAGAUUUAUGUGUGUUUUGCUUUAUAUGUUUCAUAAUAAGAUAGUACCCAGUUGGGACUGUAAAGAAAAUACUCAAUAAUACUAGCAUACCAUAAUACACACGUUAAAACCUACAUGAGAGUAUAUACAUUUAAGUUGUUUUUUUUAAUAUAUGUAUACCAUUCUUAUAGCAAAACAGAGACUAUCCCUUGAUGUACCAUCACUUCUGUCUUGCCAGUGUGUGAAGACGGAGAGAGGAGUCUAUUUUCAGGAGUUGUGUGUUCCCCUACUGAUUGAAGAAAGCAGCGGGAAGCAGUGGAAAAUGGAAGAAGAUGGGGAAAUGAUGUGGAAUUGCUGCCCAUCCCCAAAGAUGGAUCUUGUUGGGGUAAAUCAGGUCCCCACUCUUAAGAAUGCUUUCCCCUGCUAGCCUCCCCUUCCCCCCUUUCCUUCUUCCCAUGGGAUAGUCCCUAGAGAAGUCAUGUGAAAUCUCCCACCCUAUUCUUGGAGGAAAUCUGUCUCUCUUUUUUUACAUCAUUCAUCACCUAUUUCCUAUUCCUCUCUCAACAACCUGUUGUGGCAGAAAAGGGGUUGUUAUUGGGAAAUAAUCAAUUUCAUCACACGGAAGUCAAUUUCAUCACAUGGGGGUCACAGAUAAACUCAGAGAGAACAGCCAAGUCUAAAAACAGGGCUGGUGACACCACAAUCCUUGCUAAUCAAAAGUCCUGGAGUUUUACGUAUGCCUCCAAGACUUGGAUCCAGUGCCCCAAACAAAUUCAAGCACCCGAUAUCCUUAAGAUAAGCAAGGUUAGACUUUAUUAGUAUUUGGAUGGGAUACCAUCUGGGAGUGCCUAGGUUCUCCAGGUAGGAUUAAGAAAGAAUUCUUCCUGAAACUUUGGAAAGUGACCACUGUCCAAGUUGACAAUAAUGGGUGGAUAGACCAAUGUUCUGAUUCAGAAUAAGUUCCUACAAUAUUAUGAUGUUGAGAUAUUAUUAUUAUUAUUAUUUGUAUUUAUAUAUUGCCUUUUCUCUCCACAAAGGAGUCUUAAAACUGCUAUAUUGAGUUAUGUUGAAUAUAAAGGCUGUAGAGACAACUGAAAUUUUAAUAAAGAUUGGCCUGAUGGCUUU
Long non-coding RNA from Anolis carolinensis (green anole), 1916 nucleotides. RefSeq lists it as uncharacterized. Lineage: Eukaryota; Metazoa; Chordata; Lepidosauria; Squamata; Anolidae. The record is from RefSeq and is a predicted model, not a curated record. The transcript is spliced from 2 exons.